Molecule: long non-coding RNA, 457 nt
Filed under: Monodelphis domestica (gray short-tailed opossum)
Lineage: Eukaryota; Metazoa; Chordata; Mammalia; Didelphimorphia; Didelphidae
Description: lncRNA (ENSMODG00000049566.1)
Source: RNAcentral
GAAAGGAACUUGGAGAAUAUCUCAUUUAAUAUCAUUUUACAACUCACCAAACUGAGGUCCAGAGAGUAAAAAUGUCAUCCAAAAUUAAAGAUUGAAAAAUGCUAUUUGUCAGAGAGUGAGUCUCUGUUCUUGCUGUGGAGGCCAGAAAGAAAAAAAAAAGAAGACUGUGAAGCAACAAUCAGGAUAAAGGAGGACUUAUCAGCUUCCACACUAAAUGAUCAAAAGCCUCUACCACAAUGCCUACUAUGUGCCAGACACUGGUGGGAAUACAAAGGCUAUGAAGAUAUAGAAGGGAAAAAAGCAUGCCAUGAGAGCUUGGAUUUUUCUAAUAGACAAUUCUACAUAUAAGUAGGUAUUAUAAAACAAGAAAAAGAAUAGAACUCUAACAACUAAAAGCAAUCAAGAAGUUUUAUUGUUUUGACAAUAAAUAAAUAAAGUUUUUCUUUCCUAUUUGGCA